This 351-nucleotide ribosomal RNA is filed under the name Togoperla brevispinis. Its description in RNAcentral is "partial 16S ribosomal RNA". Lineage: Eukaryota; Metazoa; Arthropoda; Insecta; Plecoptera; Perlidae. The record is from RNAcentral.
GUCCUUUUGAUUGUAAUUUAAGGUCUGACCUGCCCACUGACAAAGUUGAAGGGCCGCGGUAUUUUGACCGUGCAAAGGUAGCAUAAUCAUUAGUCUUUUAAUUGGAGGCUGGAAUGAAGGGUUGGACGAGACAUAGACUGUCUCAUUAUAAAUGAAGCUAGAACUUAACUUUUGAGUGAAAAGGCUUAAAUAGGUUUAAAGGACGAGAAGACCCUAUAGAUCUUUAUAUUAAAAGUUUUAUUAAUAGUUUGGGGAGGUUAAUUUUAUUAGAAGAUUUAAUAUUUCGUUGGGGUGACGGGAAGAUAGAAUAAACUCUUUUUUACAGGGGGCACUGAUUUGUGUAUAGAUGAU